GAUGAACGCUGGCGGCGUGCUUAACACAUGCAAGUCGAACGAAGUGUUUAUUCAAAGUUCUUCGGGAUCGAGAAUAAAUUACUUAGUGGCGGACGGGUGAGUAACGCGUGGGUAACCUGCCUCACACAGGGGGAUAACAGUUGGAAACGACUGCUAAUACCGCAUAAGACCACAGCACCGCAUGGUGCAGGGGUAAAAGAUUUAUCGGUGUGAGAUGGACCUGCGUCUGAUUAGAUAGUUGGUGGGGUAGAAGCCUACCAGGUCAACGAUCAGUAGCCGACCGGGGGGGGUGGUCGCCCACAUUGGGGGAGGGACACGGCCCAAAUCCCGGCGGGAGGGGGGAGUGGGGAAUAAGGGACAAUGGGGGAAACCCGAAGCCAGCAGCGCCGGGGAGGAGAAAAAGUUUUUCGGUAGGAAAAGCUCUUACGACAGGGAAGAAAAGGAGGGACCCUAAGAAAAAGCCCCCGGUAAACUCGGG
Molecule: ribosomal RNA, 478 nt
Filed under: uncultured bacterium
Lineage: Bacteria
Description: partial 16S ribosomal RNA
Rfam family: Bacterial small subunit ribosomal RNA
Source: RNAcentral